AGUUUAUACCGUAGCUUGCUACACCAUAGACUGUGAGUUGCGAACGGGUGAGUAACGCGUAGGUAACCUGCCUGGUAGCGGGGGAUAACUAUUGGAAACGAUAGCUAAUACCGCAUAAUAUUAAUUAUUGCAUGAUAAUUGAUUGAAAGGUGCAAUUGCACCACUACCAGAUGGACCUGCGUUGUAUUAGCUAGUAGGUGAGGUAACGGCUCACCUAGGCGACGAUACAUAGCCGACCUGAGAGGGUGAUCGGCCACACUGGGACUGAGACACGGCCCAGACUCCUACGGGAGGCAGCAGUAGGGAAUCUUCGGCAAUGGACGAAAGUCUGACCGAGCAACGCCGCGUGAGUGAAGAAGGUUUUCGGAUCGUAAAGCUCUGUUGUAAGAGAAGAACGGGUGUGAGAGUGGAAAGUUCACACUGUGACGGUAUCUUACCAGAAAGGGACGGCUAACUACGUGCCAGCAGCCGCGGUAAUACGUAGGUCCCGAGCGUUGUCCGGAUUUAUUGGGCGUAAAGCGAGCGCAGGCGGUUAGAUAAGUCUGAAGUUAAAGGCUGUGGCUUAACCAUAGUACGCUUUGGAAACUGUUUAACUUGAGUGCAGAAGGGGAGAGUGGAAUUCCAUGUGUAGCGGUGAAAUGCGUAGAUAUAUGGAGGAACACCGGUGGCGAAAGCGGCUCUCUGGUCUGUAACUGACGCUGAGGCUCGAAAGCGUGGGGAGCGAACAGGAUUAGAUACCCUGGUAGUCCACGCCGUAAACGAUGAGUGCUAGGUGUUAGGCCCUUUCCGGGGCUUAGUGCCGCAGCUAACGCAUUAAGCACUCCGCCUGGGGAGUACGACCGCAAGGUUGAAACUCAA
Molecule: ribosomal RNA, 858 nt
Filed under: Streptococcus gordonii
Lineage: Bacteria; Bacillati; Bacillota; Bacilli; Lactobacillales; Streptococcaceae
Description: bacterial SSU rRNA
Rfam family: Bacterial small subunit ribosomal RNA
Source: RNAcentral